UUAGGGGUGUCAGAGAUUAUAUGAGUUUGUUUUAGGUACAAAAUACAGGAAGUUUCCUCCCUUGAU
This 66-nucleotide transfer RNA is filed under the name Enterogyrus malmbergi. Its description in RNAcentral is "tRNA-Leu". Lineage: Eukaryota; Metazoa; Platyhelminthes; Monogenea; Dactylogyridea; Ancyrocephalidae. The record is from RNAcentral.